GGGGGUGUAGCUUAGUGGCAAAGCUCCAGCCUUCCAAGCUGGUCACGCGGGUUCGAUUCCCGUCACCCCCUCCA
RNAcentral lists this transfer RNA (74 nucleotides) under Nesterenkonia salmonea. RNAcentral's name for it is "Nesterenkonia sp. GY074 tRNA-Gly". It matches the Rfam family "tRNA". From Rfam's summary of the family: Transfer RNA (tRNA) molecules are approximately 80 nucleotides in length. Their secondary structure includes four short double-helical elements and three loops (D, anti-codon, and T loops). Lineage: Bacteria; Bacillati; Actinomycetota; Actinomycetes; Micrococcales; Micrococcaceae. The record is from RNAcentral. RNAcentral also lists the same sequence under 3 other names.